UACGGAGGAUGCGAGCGUUAUCCGGAUUUAUUGGGUUUAAAGGGUGCGUGGGCGGACGCUUAAGUCAGCGGUAAAAUUGCGGGGCUCAACCUCGUCGAGCCGUUGAAACUGGGUGCCUUGAGUGGGCGAGAAGUACGCGGAAUGCGUGGUGUAGCGGUGAAAUGCAUAGAUAUCACGCAGAACUCCGAUUGCGAAGGCAGCGUACCGGCGCCCUACUGACGCUGAAGCACGAAGGCGUGGGUAUCGAACAGG
RNAcentral lists this ribosomal RNA (252 nucleotides) under uncultured bacterium. RNAcentral describes it as "partial 16S ribosomal RNA". It matches the Rfam family "Bacterial small subunit ribosomal RNA", at positions 524 to 776 of the family's 1533-position model. The record is from RNAcentral.